Molecule: ribosomal RNA, 173 nt
Filed under: uncultured bacterium
Lineage: Bacteria
Description: partial 16S ribosomal RNA
Rfam family: Bacterial small subunit ribosomal RNA
Source: RNAcentral
ACUCCUACGGGAGGCAGCAGUAGGGAAUCUUCCACAAUGGGCGCAAGCCUGAUGGAGCAACGCCGCGUGUGUGAUGAAGGGUUUCGGCUCGUAAAACACUGUUAUAAGAGAAGAACGGCACUGAGAGUAACUGUUCAGUGUGUGACGGUAUCUUACCAGAAAGGAACGGCUAA